CCGCCGUCAGAAACAAUCUAAAGCAAAUGUAAUAAUAAUCAUAACUUAACAAAUUGCCUUUAUUAUUACUACCGGUUCUAGUAUUACGGCGUACUGCAGUUCUGCGUGUGGUUUGUCCGAGUGGAAUUGCCGGGCCCCAGCAGAAGACGUUGCUGGACUGCUAUGGAUACCUUGUAACUGGUGAUUAUUUCAAAACAAUGACCUACAGUUACCGUGUAGAGCACUGCAAGGUUGGGUGACCAGGGCCACCUGGGACUGCCGCCUGAAGUGUGAAGGCUACCUAUGUACUUCAUGAGGAUGAACACGAGGUCCAGAAGAAGAUCUGCAGCUCACCGCCAUGUGCCAGAGGAGAAGUCUGCUGCUCUGCAGGAUGUUUCAAGGAUGGUAUCCAACAACGCAGCAAGAGAGGCAAUUUGUGUGUGGGAGAUCUUCACCUCCUACUUCUUCGAAGAGGGUGCUGUUCCCUGGCAACACCAUAGACUACACUAUGCACAACCAAAGGCUCUUAAGACCAAUCCACAUUGCAAUAAGAGUAUUCUUCCAUUUACUUAGCUAUGUCAACUGCAGUUUCAAUUGCCAUUUUCUCUCCCUUUGAUUUCUAAUUCUCAGGUGAGGGUGCUGUGUAGAUAAGGGUGUGGAUAUAUGUACAACAACAAAACAGGUUAUUUUAAGUCACCCAUAUUGAAAAAAAUGUAGAACAAUUAGACACCCUAUAACCCACACCUACACACUCAUGUAUCAAUCUGAUUGUGUUGUGCAGUAAGCAGGCUCAGGUGUAUAACUGUGGCUCCUUCCACCUUCAAAGAAUAGGCAAGAGGGCCAACCAUGGAGAACAGUAAGACACUUCAUUAUUUCUAUGCUAUAUUGUCUGUCCUCGUGUCUGCAUGUUUUUCAGUAUAAAGUACUCUGCAGCCACUUAGUGUGGACACCAGGUGAGGCCACAAGCACAUAUUCCUGUUGAACAAUGUCUCUAACUACCUUAUUUUCUUAACAGUCUCUCUCCUUCACUUCAUCCCGCUCUCCCCUUCUCCCUAAAUCCUCUAGGUUAUAUCAGCUGUCGGUCACUUGGUCAGGUCAACAGGAAGUAUUAUUAAAGAGAUGCUCCACAUUGAAAUACAGAUAGAGAUGCAGUAGUCCCAGAGUUAAUGAUCCAAGGUCAGUUUUGCAUUUCACCUCCUGAUGAUUGAUAACUGACAGUGUUAGAAUAGAAAAAUAAAAAACAAGGCUUAAACAUCUCUCUGUCUCUCGUCUGCAAGUAUGUUUUUUUUAUGUGAGAGGAUGCCAACCCCCAGUCCCGUCAUCGCUACCUCACCCGCUCUUAAGAUAACCUUCGGGUCGACUGGGAGCCCAAGGUUCAUAGCUAGGUUCUGAACUAAUAUGUAUACCAAACGUUACAAAGAUCAGCUACAUAGCUAGCUUCACAUCCAUAGGCAUACAGGUUUUUUUAUUCCCCAUUGCACAAUAAGCAAGAAAUUAGUUACUAGUUACUUUAUUUCACCUAUCUGUAAUGCAUGGCAAAUAUCAGCAAGGCAAGCUUACACAAUUGUACAUUAAAUGUGCAGUAAAUGUUUUAGCUAGCUAGAUUCUUUACAUCCACUGUUUCACAAGACAGCCUGGUUUGUUGGUUGUUUCAGGAGUCCAUACAGCCAGAAUGACAAUGUCAUACUCAUGUCACAACACCCAUAACGCUAACCAGCUAGCUGGCUAAUGUUAGCCAGUCAAAUCGCGAUUUUCGUAAAUAAA
Long non-coding RNA from Oncorhynchus masou masou (cherry salmon), 1743 nucleotides. RefSeq lists it as uncharacterized. NCBI's taxonomy places the organism in Eukaryota, Metazoa, Chordata, Actinopteri, Salmoniformes, Salmonidae. The record is from RefSeq and is a predicted model, not a curated record. The transcript has 2 exons.